This 433-nucleotide ribosomal RNA is filed under the name uncultured bacterium. RNAcentral describes it as "partial 16S ribosomal RNA". It matches the Rfam family "Bacterial small subunit ribosomal RNA", at positions 29 to 507 of the family's 1533-position model. The record is from RNAcentral.
AGCGAACGCUGGCGGCAGGCCUAACACAUGCAAGUCGAACGAACUCUUCGGAGUUAGUGGCGGACGGGGGAGUAACACGUGGGAACGGGCCGGUAGGUUCGGAAUAACUCAGUGAAACUUGGGCUAAUACCGAAUGUGCCAUGCGGGGGAAAGAUUUAUCGCCCUUAGAGGGGCCCGCGUCUGUUUAGCCAGGUGGUGAGGUAAAGGCCCAUCAAGGCGACGAUCAGUAGCUGGGCUGAGAGGAUGAUCAGCCACAUUGGGACUGAGACACGGCCCAAACUCCUACGGGAGGCAGCAGUGGGGAAUCUUGCGCAAUGGGCGAAAGCCUGACGCAGCCAUGCCGCGUGAAUGAUGAAGGUCUUAGGAUUGUAAAAUUCUUUCACCGGGGACGAUAAUGACGGUACCCGGAGAAGAAGCCCCGGCUAACUUCGUG